ACCUGGGUGGCUUAGUCGGUUAAGCAUCCGACUUCAGCUCAGGUCAUGAUCUCGCAGUUGGUGGGUGUGAACCCCACAUCAGGUU
RNAcentral lists this transfer RNA (85 nucleotides) under Felis catus (domestic cat). It matches the Rfam family "tRNA". From Rfam's summary of the family: Transfer RNA (tRNA) molecules are approximately 80 nucleotides in length. Their secondary structure includes four short double-helical elements and three loops (D, anti-codon, and T loops). Further hydrogen bonds mediate the characteristic L-shaped molecular structure. tRNAs have two regions of fundamental functional importance: the anti-codon, which is responsible for specific mRNA codon recognition, and the 3' end, to which the tRNAs corresponding amino acid is attached (by aminoacyl-tRNA synthetases). tRNAs cope with the degeneracy of the genetic code in two manners: having more than one tRNA (with a specific anti-codon) for a particular amino acid; and 'wobble' base-pairing, i.e. permitting non-standard base-pairing at the 3rd anti-codon position. The record is from Rfam by way of RNAcentral. RNAcentral also lists the same sequence under 2 other names. Lineage: Eukaryota; Metazoa; Chordata; Mammalia; Carnivora; Felidae.